AAGUUGGCAAAGAAACACAAGUGGGCAAUUCUCAGAAGUCCUAGUGGAGCUGGUGUGGUGGUACACACCUGUAAUCCCUAAGUAUGGGAGGCUGAGGCAGGAAGAUCACAAGUUCUAGCCCAGUUUGGGCAACUUAAUGAGACCCAGUCUCAGAACAUUAAAAAAGGGCUGAGGGUGUAGCUCAGGGUGAAGAAAGAGGAGGAAGAAGGAAAAGGGAAAUACCAGCUGAUCUGUGCAUGACCAGGCCUCACACUGUCCCCGAGAGGAGUGCGUGUUUAAGGGAAAAUGUCUUCACCUGCCGGGUUAGCGACCUGGUCCCAAGUGUGGAAGGCGUGAAGGAAUUGCCAGUUUGAAGGAGGGAUUCACUCCCCGGAACCCAAUUUAGCAACCAUGUUCAACAAAAUGAAAACAAGCUCAUGCACAUGGAUCCAGCAGUUCCUUUUCCAUGAUUGGGAUCGCGUGGGUGGAAUCUUCGGGUGAGGUGGAACUCCGGCCUUUUGGCAGAGAUGUUUCCUGGCUGGCUGCCCAGGGUGUGCCGAGUCAGGAAUGGGAGGGCAGCCCUGCCCAACCUCCAGCCCUGGAGAGGUGCGAUCAGGUUCCUGGCCAACAUGAGGUGAGCAGCUUCUUCCGCCACAUCCUUCCACCAUGAUGUUUCCACCUCACCACAGACCUGAGAGUAAUGGAGCUGGCUGACCAUGGACUGAAACCUUUGAAACCAUGAGCCAAAAUGAAUUUCUCCUUGAAGUUGUUUAUCUCAGCCUCCUGCUUGCAGAGAUCGCCAGAUCAACACCUUCCCCAGGGCCCUUGGAACCUGUGCUCAUCCUGCCCAGGGCCCAUGGGCCAAGACUCACCGGGCUCUGGUGCCACCUGACAGUCUCACCCCUCCUCCCGACAGGCUUCCUGCCAGAGGCAUUUGUGACAGAACAGCUGAUAUCCAAACAAGGCUGUACUUCCCAGCUUCUUUUGUGGCUGAGCGUGUUCACGACAGAGUUGUGGCCAAGGCCAAUGGGACACACAUGGAGUUUUGUAUGAGAUCUUCGGGCUGCAGAAUUACUCAUCAGCGCUGGAAGCCUGCCCCCGCCAUGCUGUGGUGACCCUCAUCCCAGCGAGGCUCCCUCAGCUGGGCAGCCGUCUGCCCUGCGGUGAGGGGAAGGAAUUCAGCGUGAACUCUGCUCACUCAGCAGCCAGCCUCAAGGAGCUUGGGCUGUGGAAAAUCACAUGUGUUUUUCGAGUUGUUGGAAACCAAGGAAAUUGCUCCUCCAGUUGUGAAGUUGGCCAGAACACUGCCUGGAAGACCCCAGGUACCCACAGCUUGAGGAACCGCCCCUCCACAUGGGCUUGAGUAGGUGAGCCACUGGUGACAUCAGAGCGUCUGGGCUAUAGAGAAGGGGAUGUUGCUGUCUGGUCACCUCUUUGGCUCCAGAGCCCCUGAGAACAGGGACCCCAGGGCCCUGGUAAGUCUGUGUCUGCUGACCAAGGCUUCCUGGGCUGUCUGUCCAGCUCCAAGAUACCCCCAAAUGCAUGCCCUGGUGCUGGACAGCGGAGUGGGGAGUGAGUUCAUACAAGACUGGCUGCUGGGCCAUCUGCACACAAGGGUUCACUCUGCAGCAGCCUGACCUUGUGUGUCUCAGCUGCUGCCACAAAGGCCCGAGAGGGCUCAGGAUCUGGGGUGGGUUGGAAGGGACCACUCCUGGCCCCAGGCCCUGGCAGCCUC
Heterocephalus glaber (naked mole-rat) is the source of this 1714-nucleotide long non-coding RNA. Lineage: Eukaryota; Metazoa; Chordata; Mammalia; Rodentia; Bathyergidae. The record is from Ensembl.